CGGGGUGUGGCCCAGUUGGUAGGGUACGUGCUUUGGGAGCAUGAGGCCGCGGGUUCGAGUCCCGCCACUCCGACCA
This 76-nucleotide transfer RNA is filed under the name Oscillospiraceae bacterium. RNAcentral describes it as "tRNA-Pro". It matches the Rfam family "tRNA". From Rfam's summary of the family: Transfer RNA (tRNA) molecules are approximately 80 nucleotides in length. Lineage: Bacteria; Bacillati; Bacillota; Clostridia; Eubacteriales; Oscillospiraceae. The record is from RNAcentral.